GACGAACGCUGGCGGCGUGCUUAACACAUGCAAGUCGAACGGAAAGGCCCUGCUCUUGUGGGGUGCUCGAGUGGCGAACGGGUGAGUAACAAGUGAGUAACCUGCCCUUGACUUUGGGAUAACUUCAGGAAACUGGGGCUAAUACCGGCUAGGAGCUCCUGCUGCAUGGUGGGGGUUGGAAAGUUUCGGCGGUGGGGGAUGGACUCGCGGCUUAUCAGCUUGUUGGUGGGGUAGUGGCUUACCAAGGCUUUGACGGGUAGCCGGCCUGAGAGGGUGACCGGCCACAUUGGGACUGAGAUACGGCGCAGACUCCUACGGGAGGCAGCAGUGGGGAAUAUUGCACAGUGGGCGGGAGCCUGAUGCAGCAACGCCGCGUGCGGGAUGACGGCCUUCGGGUUGUAAACCGCUUUCGCCUGUGACGAAGCGUGAGUGACGGUAAUGGGUAAAGAAGCACCGGCUAACUACGUG
RNAcentral lists this ribosomal RNA (468 nucleotides) under uncultured bacterium. Its description in RNAcentral is "partial 16S ribosomal RNA". It matches the Rfam family "Bacterial small subunit ribosomal RNA", at positions 28 to 507 of the family's 1533-position model. The record is from RNAcentral.